This 630-nucleotide ribosomal RNA is filed under the name bacterium. RNAcentral describes it as "bacterial SSU rRNA". It matches the Rfam family "Bacterial small subunit ribosomal RNA", at positions 86 to 751 of the family's 1533-position model. The record is from RNAcentral.
GCAAGGGGAGCGGCAGACGGGUGAGUAACGCGUGGGAAUCUACCCAUCCCUACGGAACAACUCCGGGAAACUGGAGCUAAUACCGUAUACGCCCUUUGGGGGAAAGAUUUAUCGGGGAUGGAUGAGCCCGCGUUGGAUUAGCUAGUUGGUGGGGUAAAGGCCUACCAAGGCGACGAUCCAUAGCUGGUCUGAGAGGAUGAUCAGCCACAUUGGGACUGAGACACGGCCCAAACUCCUACGGGAGGCAGCAGUGGGGAAUAUUGGACAAUGGGCGCAAGCCUGAUCCAGCCAUGCCGCGUGAGUGAUGAAGGCCUUAGGGUUGUAAAGCUCUUUCACCGGAGAAGAUAAUGACGGUAUCCGGAGAAGAAGCCCCGGCUAACUUCGUGCCAGCAGCCGCGGUAAUACGAAGGGGGCUAGCGUUGUUCGGAAUUACUGGGCGUAAAGCGCACGUAGGCGGAUAUUUAAGUCAGGGGUGAAAUCCCAGAGCUCAACUCUGGAACUGCCUUUGAUACUGGGUAUCUUGAGUAUGGAAGAGGUUAGUGGAAUUGCGAGUGUAGAGGUGAAAUUCGUAGAUAUUCGCAGGAACACCAGUGGCGAAGGCGGCUGACUGGUCCAUAACUGACGCUGAGG